UAAAGUAAAUAACAUUGAUUUUAUUGUUACUAUGGCGCAUGUAAAGGGGUGUUUAUAUAUUAGACUGCAAGUGAACAGUCAGUUUCUUUCGUUUGCCUAUUUUUCCUGCUGCCAACAGAUGAAAUUCAAGAUCUGCAUGACUUUGACAAGGAAUUUAUAGUGAUGGCAAGACAACUGGAUCAAUGUCUCACCAAAAAGUAUGGUUCUUCCUGGUAUGCAGUGGUUAGUACCUACAAAAGAGGUGCAAGGAAGCACACCUGCUGAAGUGACGUCAAUGUCAUGGGUGC
This is a non-coding RNA of Pelobates cultripes (western spadefoot toad), 287 nucleotides long. NCBI's taxonomy places the organism in Eukaryota, Metazoa, Chordata, Amphibia, Anura, Pelobatidae. The record is from the annotation of a GenBank genome assembly.